UCCCUGUCCUGUAAUAACUGUAGAGCACUUUAAAGAAUCACUGGGUGUUAAAGGCCUUCCGCUGUAUCCAGACCCCUCCAGAGUACCUGGCACAAAGACUCAGAACAACUUAGAAUCUGACUACUUGGCCAGAGAUGGCCCUUCAAGCAACAGCUCAUUCCACAGCAGCGAAGAGGAAGGGACUGACCUUGAAGGAGACAUGCUGGACUGCAGUGGGUCUCGGCCUCUCCUUAUGGAGUCUGAAGAAGAAGAUGAGAGCUGCAGACCCCCCCCGGGGAAGCUGGGAGGAGCCGUUCCAUUCGCUCCACCAGAAGUCUCUCCUGAGCAAGCAAAGACAGUGCAAGGUGGAAGAAAGAACCAGUUUCAAGCCUUCACACAGCCAGCCACUGAUGGGCUCAGUGAGCCAGAUGUUUUUGCCAUAGCUCCCUUCAGGAGCUCAAGGGUUCCAAAUGAUGACAUGGACAUUUUCUCCAAAGCCCCAUUUGUCUCCAAGAGCAGUAUGGCUCCUUCCCAGCCAGAGGAGUCAGACGUGUUUUUGAGAGCUCCUUUCACUAAGAAGAAAAGCAUGGAGGAGUUAACAGUUAUCCAAUGCACCUCCCAGGAGCUGCCUGCACAGACCGGUCUCCUCAGUCAGACAGGUGAUGUCCCCCUGCCCGCGGGCCGUGAGAGAGCUGUGUACACCUCUGUCCAAGCUCAGUAUUCCACAGCUGGUUUUGUGCAACAGUCUAACCUCCUGUCCCAUUCUGUACAAGCAGCAGACCAUCUGGACAGCAUCUCUCCCAGGGGAUCCUGCCUGGAAUCUGGGGGUCAUUCUAAUGACAGAAACAAAGGACCUCAGCUCCAGAAAGAAGCUGUCUCAGGCCCCAUGGCUGGCAAACCAUUCCGCCCCCAGUCCUUAUCCAAGUAUUCCCGUCACUAUAGCCCAGAAGACGAGCCAAGUCCAGAAGCCCAGCCCAUUGCUGCCUACAAAAUUGUUUCACAAACCAACAAGCAGUCGAUAGCUGGGUCUGUUUCUAUCACAUCCCUUUCCUCCAGGACUACGGAGCUGCCAGCUGCUGAUCCAUUUGCUCUAGCACCCUUCCCUUCAAAAUCAGGCAAGAAACCCUAGGAGCAAAACCUGAGCCUCAAGCCUCUUGUCUCUAUCCCACCCUCAAUACCCGCCAUGGCACUCCCAGCUUAGCCUUCUGAAGAAGAAAUAUUAUCAGUUCUUAUAUUUCAAUUCCCUGCGUCAGAGCAGAAUUGCUUGACCCAGGGAGGCAGACUUUGCAGUGAGCCAAGAUUGUGUCAUUGCACUCCAGCCUGGGCGAGAAGAGCAAAACUCCGCCUCAAAAAAAAAAAAAAAAUUGUCACUGGAGACAUGAUGGGUGGAGACUCUACAUACCUUCUUUGAAUACAGAAACGGAUGCAAACACAUGCAAAUUACUUUUUUUUUUUUUUUUGGUGAUGCAUGAAAAAACUUUGACUUGUGGAUUACAUUAAUUAUUAGUAACAGUUAGAUUCUGCCGACUUGUAUUACAGUAGGGUCUUAUUUCCUUAAAGAGAAAAAAAAAUACAGUCAUGCCCCACUUAAUGAUGAGGGAGACAUUCAGAGAAAUGCAUCCUUAGGUGAUUUUGUCAUUGUGUGAACAUCACAGAGUGUACUUAACACAAACCUAGAUGGCACGGCCUACUACCUACCUAGGCUAUAUGGUCCAGCCUGUUGCUCCUGGGCUACAAACCUGUACAGCAUGUUACUGUACUGAAUACUGUAGGCAGUUGUAACACAAUGGUAAGUAUUUCUGUAUCCAAACAUUUUAGACAUAGAAAAGGUACAGUAAAAAUAUGGUAUAAUCUUAUGGGACCAUCAUGGUAUAUGUGGUCCAUCAUUGAUGGAAUCGUUUUUAUGCAGCACAUGACUGUAUAUAAUCAACAAACAACUCUACUUUCUUGUUUUCGUUUGUUGUGUUUUUGCUUUACACAUUUGAUAGGGAACAUAGAAGUUGUGACCUUUCAUUUCAGUGGAAAGCAUUGAGCCAGAAUAUAUUUAUUCCUAAACCAUCGAGCCACACAUGCAUUGAUGAACCCUGAAAGAAUCCACAGUAAUUGACUAACAGGCAGUACUGAAUGAAAGAUGUCAUAUGUGGUGAAAAAUAUUUAAUAUAUCAGUUUCUUGGGCUCACAUACAGCCCUUUAGUUCCAAGUGCUUGGUUAGAUUAGAAAAUGGGAUGAACACAAUUUGAUGCUGAAGCAGCUGCUGAGCAGCACCCAGGGAGUCUAGGUCAUACGCCCUAUAUUGUUUUCGGCCCACUUAUUGUUGAGUUGAAAAGUCUCAUAUUUGUAGACUAGAGUGUAUGUGUUUAGAGGCUCAUGUUGUAUCUGAGUUUUCUCUGGCAACUAAGAUCUCUUUCUAAACGUUCUAGAAAGAUACUGGUAUCUUACUGGCCCAUUAUUUAGUAAGUUUUAGAAUACAUGUACAUCAGUGUUUUCAACUGCUUGGUGGACAUUUCACUGAUGCAUAAUCAAAGUAGCAGAUUAUAAUCAUCAGAGUGAUCUGACAAGGAAAUUCUGUAUUUGCUUCCAUAAAGAAAAAUAAUCAAAACAUAUAUCAGAUAUAAUAUAUAUGCAGUAUAUCACAUAGGAAAUUUUAUUGUAGGAAAUUAGAGAAGGAUGCUACUCAAUUCAUUCUCUAGCAGGAAGAAUACAGCUUAAAAAUCACUUGGGUCCCUUUAAUAAAGAAAAGUGUGAUUCUGUGUUGUGUGUUUGGAACUGAAAUUGGAGAACACGUGCCAGUCGACUGUGAAAUGGUUGCUGGAUAAAACCACAGAUGUGGUUUUAUCCGAGAAAUGUGGGACUGAAAUUAUUUUGAUGAGAGGUACAUAAGAGAGCUGCAGAAAAGACUGUAGCUUCUGAGGAGGCAGGAGUACCUUGUUAAUAUCCAAACCACCCCUGAGUUCUAAUGUUCCAACUCCACCUAAACGAGGAAUUGGAAACUUUAAAUGGAAUUAUCUAAUUUAAAUUCUUAGUUUUUUCUUUGUCUUUCUCAGCUGAUACUUGUAGUUUUGUUUUGUUUUUUAACCACCAAGAACACUUGCAAGUUUGUUACUGAAAACAUCACUAAAGGAAAAGAAGAGUUUCAAAAUGCUUGAAAAGUAGUAUGUGGUUGGGAAUUGUUUUUGUUCAAGUCCCUGGAAGUCCUCUUGGCUUAGCUCCCUUGUUCCUGUUCCCACUUCAUUUCCUUACUUAACAUUCCCCUAUUUUGAGCAUGUCAAUAAGUGCAUGAUGAAUGGCACAGUUGAAUGAUCAUGUUAACUUUAAUUGCUUCCUUUGUUGCUGUAAACAGUUUCUUGUUAAGUUUCAGCCAAGUCUGUGACAAUCUCACCAAAUAAGAAUGAAAUGGGCGGGGUGUGGUGGCUCACACUUGGAAUCCCAGCACUCUGGGAGGCUGUGUUGGGCCGAUCGCUUGAGCUCAUGAGUUCAAGACCAACCUGGGCAACAUGGCAAAACCUUGUCUCUACAAAAAAUACAAAAAUUAGCCAGGCAUGGUGGUGCACACCUGUAGUCCCAGCUACUUGGGAGGCUUAGGUGGGAGGAUGGCUUGAGCACGGGAGGCAGAGGUUGCACUAAGCCAAGAUCGUGUCACUGCACUCCAGCCCAGGCAAUAGAGCCAGACCCUGUCUC
This 3657-nucleotide long non-coding RNA is filed under the name Homo sapiens (human). RNAcentral's name for it is "non-protein coding lnc-AAK1-1:2". The record is from RNAcentral. Lineage: Eukaryota; Metazoa; Chordata; Mammalia; Primates; Hominidae.